ACGAAGCCACGCCGGUAUACUGGUACCCA
RNAcentral lists this small RNA (29 nucleotides) under Bombyx mori (domestic silkworm). RNAcentral's name for it is "ovarian small RNA-11413". Lineage: Eukaryota; Metazoa; Arthropoda; Insecta; Lepidoptera; Bombycidae. The record is from RNAcentral.